GAUGAAGAACGCAGCGAAAUGCGAUAAGUAAUGUGAAUUGCAGAAUUCAGUGAAUCAUCGAAUCUUUGAACGCACCUUGCGCCCUUUGGACAUUCCGAAGGGCAUGCCUGUUUGAGUAUCAUGAACACCUCAACUCUCACGGCUUGUCCGUGAUGAGCUUGGACUUUGGGGGUCUUGCCGGCCUGUGGUCGGCUACUCUCAAAUGGAUCAGCUUGCCAGUGUUUGGUGGCAUCACAGGUGUGAUAACUAUCUGCGCUUGUGGUUUUCCAUCAGAUAACCUUCAGUGAUAUGGAGGUUCGCUGGAGCUCACAAAUGUCUCUCCUUAGUGAGGACAGCUCUUUGAACGUUUGAUCUCAAAUCAGGUAGGACUACCCGCUGAACUUAAGCAUAUCAAUAAGCGGAGGA
Molecule: unclassified non-coding RNA, 405 nt
Filed under: soil metagenome
Description: partial contains 5.8S ribosomal RNA, internal transcribed spacer 2, and large subunit ribosomal RNA
Rfam family: 5.8S ribosomal RNA (bases 1-121)
Source: RNAcentral